GUAGGGAAUAUUGGGCAAUGGAUGCAAGUCUGACCCAGCCAUCCCGCGUGCCGGAAGAAGGCCCUCUGGGUUGUAAACUGCUUUUAUCUGGGAAGAAAAAGGCCAUGCGUGGCAAAUUGCCGGUACCAGAUGAAUAAGCACCGGCUAACUCCGUGCCAGCAGCCGCGGUAAUACGGAGGGUGCGAGCGUUGUCCGGAUUUAUUGGGUUUAAAGGGUGCGUAGGCGGCUGAUUAAGUCAGCGGUGAAAGACUUCGGCUUAACCGGAGCAGUGCCGGUGAUACUGGUUAGCUUGAGUGUAGGAAGGGUACAUAGAAUUGAUGGUGUAGCGGUGAAAUGCAUAGAUACCAUCAGGAACACCGAUAGCGAAGGCAUUGUACUGGCCGACAACUGACGCUGAUGCACGAAAGUGUGGGGAUCGAACAGGAUUAGAUACCCUAGUAGUCC
Molecule: ribosomal RNA, 444 nt
Filed under: uncultured bacterium
Lineage: Bacteria
Description: partial 16S ribosomal RNA
Rfam family: Bacterial small subunit ribosomal RNA
Source: RNAcentral